Molecule: long non-coding RNA, 266 nt
Filed under: Sorghum bicolor (sorghum)
Lineage: Eukaryota; Viridiplantae; Streptophyta; Magnoliopsida; Poales; Poaceae
Description: long non-coding RNA (SBIC_LNC016992)
Source: RNAcentral
AGCUUAGGGAAUAGGGGGUUGGGGGAUCUCAAUAUGCCUAUGCACCAUGAAUAGGGAGGAGAGAGAGAGAGGAACAUUAACGACAAUGGUAGUGUCACACGAUGGAAGAGGGGUGGCAGGAAGAAGAGAGAUGUGAGGAGAGAGAGCAUGGUACUCUUUUGGUUGUGGAGAGGUGUGGAUCAAUAAUGGUAUGACGAUGGAUGAUGAGGGGCAUUGUUGGAUGUGACAAAUGGAGGAGGGGCAACAUUGGCGAUGGUGGAUAGAUG